This 145-nucleotide non-coding RNA is filed under the name Homo sapiens (human). Lineage: Eukaryota; Metazoa; Chordata; Mammalia; Primates; Hominidae. The record is from Rfam by way of RNAcentral.
GCCAGGCGUGGUGGCGCAUGCCUGUAAUCCCAGCUACUGGGGAGGCUGAGGCAGGAGAAUCACUUGAACCCGGGAGGUGGAGGUUGCAGUGAGCUAUGGCGCCAUUGCACUCCAGCCUGGGUGACAGAGCGAGACUCUGUCUCAA